This 440-nucleotide ribosomal RNA is filed under the name uncultured bacterium. RNAcentral's name for it is "partial 16S ribosomal RNA". It matches the Rfam family "Bacterial small subunit ribosomal RNA", at positions 338 to 795 of the family's 1533-position model. The record is from RNAcentral.
CCUACGGGCGGCAGCAGUGGGGAAUAUUGGACAAUGGGGGGAACCCUGAUCCAGCGACGCCGCGUGAGUGAAGAAGUAUUUCGGUAUGUAAAGCCCUAUCAGUAGGGAAGAAUAUGACGGUACCUGACUAAGAAGCCCCGGCUAACUACGUGCCAGCAGCCGCGGUAAUACGUAGGGGGCAAGCGUUAUCCGGAUUUACUGGGUGUAAAGGGUGCGUAGGCGGUGGAGCAAGUCUGAUGUGAAAGGGCGGGGCCUAACCCCGGGACUGCAUUGGAAACUGUUGAACUGGAGUACAGGAGAGGUAAGCGGAAUUCCUGGUGUAGCGGUGAAAUCCGUAGAUAUUAAGAGGAACACCAGUGGCGAAGGCGGCUUACUGGACUGUAACUGACGUUGAGGCACGAAAGCGUGGGGAGCAAACAGGAUUAGAUACCCUAGUAGUC